This 548-nucleotide long non-coding RNA is filed under the name Medicago truncatula (barrel medic). Its description in RNAcentral is "long non-coding RNA (MTRU_LNC008146)". Lineage: Eukaryota; Viridiplantae; Streptophyta; Magnoliopsida; Fabales; Fabaceae. The record is from RNAcentral.
GACGCUGGAGUAACACAUCAUAUAUGCUACUCACUUAUAAAAUAAAGGUCUUUGUUAACGAGUUGUCUCAAGGGCACUCUUUAACCAUUACAAAAUAAAUAAUUAUUCUUCAAAAAAUUCAAAUGUUUCGAUUUUCAAUGCAUUGAUUACAUGCAUUUUUCAUACUAAUAUUUACUACUUAUGGUCCUUAAAAAGUGUUACGGAGGCACUCAUUAACAUUUUUCAUAAAAUAAAAUGAAUCAAUUGUAGCUCCAGUAAGUCUCUUUUUCCUUCCUUUCUAACUAUCAUUUCCUCGUUCCGCCAUGUACCAUCAAUAACGUUUAUAUCUUUCAAAUCUACAAUUCAAAAAUGACUUGUGUUAGAUUGGAGAGUGAAAUAGUAAAACACAAAUAAAUCAAAAGCAAGAAGUUGCAUAAUGCUCAUAUGACCAUAUCCAACUAUGAACAAGGGAAUAAGUAAGCUUCAACAAUGAUGUGCCAUGAAUAGAGCUUGUACCACAAACAACACAAUGAAUGCAUAUAAAAAACUAUAUUCUAUAGCAUAGCAGC